Non-coding RNA from Caenorhabditis elegans, 21 nucleotides. Lineage: Eukaryota; Metazoa; Nematoda; Chromadorea; Rhabditida; Rhabditidae. The record is from Ensembl.
UUCGUCGUGUGUAGUUUCGCC